UAAAGACUUGUGUGAUUAACAGAA
RNAcentral lists this non-coding RNA (24 nucleotides) under Gossypium hirsutum (cotton). Lineage: Eukaryota; Viridiplantae; Streptophyta; Magnoliopsida; Malvales; Malvaceae. The record is from RNAcentral.